AGGGUUUGAUCCUGGCUCAGAACGUACGCUGGCGGCACGCCUAACACAUGCAAGUCGAACGAAGUAGCAAUACUUAGUGGCAGACGGGUGAGUAACAUGUAGGUAUCUACCCUUUGGCCUGGAAUAACACGAGGAAACUUGUGCUAAUACUGGAUAAGUCUUUACGGAGAAAGCUUUAUGCACCAAUGGAUGAGCCUGCACUUGAUUAGUUUGUUGGUAGGGUAAUGGCCUACCAAGACUGUGAUCAAUAGCUGAUUUGAGAGGAUGAUCAGCCACAUUGGGACUGAGACACGGCCCAAACUCCUACGGGAGGCAGCAGUGGGGAAUCUUGCACAAUGGAGGAAACUCUGAUGCAGCGAUGCCGCGUGAGUGAAGAAGGCCCUUGGGUUGUAAAGCUCUUUCGUCGGGGAAGAAAAUGACUGUACCCGAAUAAGAAGGUCCGGCUAACUUCGUGCCAGCAGCCGCGGUAAUACGAAGGGACCUAGCGUAGUUCGGAAUUACUGGGCUUAAAGAGUUCGUAGGUGGUUGAAAUAGUUGGUGGUGAAAUCCCAGAGCUUAACUCUGGAACUGCCAUCAAAACUUUUCAGCUAGAGUUUGAUAGAGGAAAGCAGAAUUUCUAGUGUAGAGGUGAAAUUCGUAGAUAUUAGAAAGAAUACCAAUUGCGAAGGCAGCUUUCUGGAUCAUUACUGACACUGAGGAACGAAAGCAUGGGUAGCGAAGAGGAUUAGAUACCCUCGUAGUCCAUGCCGUAAACGAUGUGUGUUAGACGUUGGAAAUUUAUUUUCAGUGUCGCAGCGAAAGCGAUAAACACACCGCCUGGGGAGUACGACCGCAAGGUUAAAACUCAAAUGAAUUGACGGGGACCCGCACAAGUAGUGGAGCAUGUGGUUUAAUUCGAAGAUACGCGCAGAACCUUACCAACACUUGACAUGUUCGUCGCGACUUUAAGAGAUUAAAGUUUUCGGUUCGGCCGGACGAAACACAGGUGCUGCAUGGCUGUCGUCAGCUCGUGUCGUGAGAUGUUGGGUUAAGUCCCGCAACGAGCGCAACCCUCACUUUUAGUUGCCAUCAUUUAGUUGGGCACUCUGAAAGAACUGCCAGUGAUAAGCUGGAGGAAGGUGGGGAUGACGUCAAGUCCUCAUGGCCCUUACGUGUUGGGCUACACACGUGCUACAAUGGUAUUUACAACAGGAAGCAAGACGGCGACGUUAAGCAAAUCCUUAAAAAAUACCUCAGUUCGGAUUGCACUCUGCAACUCGAGUGCAUGAAGCUGGAAUUACUAGUAAUCGUGGAUCAGCGUGCCACGGUGAAUGCGUUCCCGGGUCUUGUACACACCGCCCGUCACACCAUGGGAGUUGGUUCUACCUUAAGGCAAGGUUUAAAACCCUUGACUACGGUAUAGUCAGCGACUGGGGUGAAGUCGUAACAAGGUAGCCGUA
Molecule: ribosomal RNA, 1439 nt
Filed under: uncultured bacterium
Lineage: Bacteria
Description: bacterial SSU rRNA
Rfam family: Bacterial small subunit ribosomal RNA
Source: RNAcentral